GCUCAGCGAUAUGAGGCAGCAUCGACAAUUUAUGGACCGCACACAUUAUCUGCUUACAUUCAGCUCUUCAGAAACCUUGCUAAGGCUAUUGCUACGGGGGAAGUUGCUGAAGUUAUAUUUGUAGGUGCUAACCCGAAGAAUUCAGUACAAAACCAGACCCAUCAGACCUUCCUCACUGUGGAGAAAUAUGAGGCUACUUCAACAUCGUGGCAGAUAGUGUGUAAUGAUGCCUCCUGGGAGACUCGUUUUUAUUGGCACAAGGGACUCCUGGGUCUGAGUAAUGCAACAGUGGAAUGGCAUAUUCCAGACACUGCCCAGCCUGGAAUCUACAGAAUAAGAUAUUUUGGACACAAUCGGAAGCAGGACAUUCUGAAGCCUGCUGUCAUACUUUCAUUUGAAGGCACUUCCCCGGCUUUUGAAGUUGUAACUAUUUAGUGAAAAGUUGAUAGAUCAUUUAAAGAACAGCUUUACUCUCUACACAUUAUAUAAGUGAUUUCAAAUGAAUGUGAACUAGUGAACUACCAUGUUGACUUCUAUAA
This 539-nucleotide long non-coding RNA is filed under the name Homo sapiens (human). RNAcentral describes it as "non-protein coding lnc-SGMS1-3:1". Lineage: Eukaryota; Metazoa; Chordata; Mammalia; Primates; Hominidae. The record is from RNAcentral.